CAGAUAGGUCUAUUUAAGUCUCAGAUGUUGGUUAAGACUUCAGUUGUGGAAGGAACCAUGGGAGGUGUUUGGAUUCUGAUCUUGUGCACAGUGAUGUUUUGGCCUGAAGGCUUUUGCUUGCCAGUUGAUCAAAAUGGAGUACGCUAUGAAAAGCAAAAGACUGGAAACUUCAUUUUUCAAAAUGAAAUUUCUCUGAAAAAGCCAAUAGCUGUUGUCCAGUCAGUGGGUUCCAAGUUGAUGUACACUUCUAAAGAAGUUCAAUUGGAAACCAGUGAAGUGGAACUUCUAUGUUGUGACCACCCCCACAAUAUAUCAGGCUACACAGUGAC
This is a long non-coding RNA of Fundulus heteroclitus (mummichog), 329 nucleotides long. RefSeq lists it as uncharacterized. Lineage: Eukaryota; Metazoa; Chordata; Actinopteri; Cyprinodontiformes; Fundulidae. The record is from RefSeq and is a predicted model, not a curated record. The transcript has 4 exons.